Molecule: ribosomal RNA, 429 nt
Filed under: Bacillota bacterium
Lineage: Bacteria; Bacillati; Bacillota
Description: Firmicutes bacterium partial 16S ribosomal RNA
Rfam family: Bacterial small subunit ribosomal RNA
Source: RNAcentral
UGGGGAAUUUUGGACAAUGGGCGAAAGCCUGAUCCAGCAAUGCCGCGUGUGUGAAGAAGGCCUUCGGGUUGUAAAGCACUUUUGUCCGGAAAGAAAUGGCUCUGGUUAAUACCUGGGGUCGAUGACGGUACCGGAAGAAUAAGGACCGGCUAACUACGUGCCAGCAGCCGCGGUAAUACGUAGGGUCCAAGCGUUAAUCGGAAUUACUGGGCGUAAAGCGUGCGCAGGCGGUUGUGCAAGACCGAUAUGAAAUCCCCGAGCUUAACUUGGGAAUUGCAUUGGUGACUGCACGGCUAGAGUGUGUCAGAGGGGGGUAGAAUUCCACGUGUAGCAGUGAAAUGCGUAGAGAUGUGGAGGAAUACCGAUGGCGAAGGCAGCCCCCUGGGAUAACACUGACGCUCAUGCACGAAAGCGUGGGGAGCAAACAGG